This is a small nucleolar RNA of Acomys russatus (golden spiny mouse), 131 nucleotides long. RefSeq annotates it as small nucleolar RNA SNORA17. NCBI's taxonomy places the organism in Eukaryota, Metazoa, Chordata, Mammalia, Rodentia, Muridae. The record is from RefSeq and is a predicted model, not a curated record. The transcript has a single exon.
GUUGCCCCCUAGAAGCAUUGCAGGUGUGGGUGCUAUGUCACUUGUGCGUCAGUAGGUGGCAGACAGGGGAGAGGCUAUGUCUGUGCUCUGCUCUGACCUAUGGCCAUCUGAAUGCCUAGUAGCCUAACAGU